GAGUUUGAUCCUGGCUCAGAUUGAACGCUGGCGGCAGGCCUAACACAUGCAAGUCGAGCGGUAGAGAGAAGCUUGCUUCUCUUGAGAGCGGCGGACGGGUGAGUAAUGCCUAGGAAUCUGCCUGGUAGUGGGGGAUAACGCUCGGAAACGGACGCUAAUACCGCAUACGUCCUACGGGAGAAAGCAGGGGACCUUCGGGCCUUGCGCUAUCAGAUGAGCCUAGGUCGGAUUAGCUAGUUGGUGAGGUAAUGGCUCACCAAGGCGACGAUCCGUAACUGGUCUGAGAGGAUGAUCAGUCACACUGGAACUGAGACACGGUCCAGACUCCUACGGGAGGCAGCAGUGGGGAAUAUUGGACAAUGGGCGAAAGCCUGAUCCAGCCAUGCCGCGUGUGUGAAGAAGGUCUUCGGAUUGUAAAGCACUUUAAGUUGGGAGGAAGGCAGUAAUUAAUACUUUGCUGUUUGACGUUACCGACAGAAUAAGCACCGGCUAACUCUGUGCCAGCCG
RNAcentral lists this ribosomal RNA (507 nucleotides) under uncultured bacterium. RNAcentral describes it as "bacterial SSU rRNA". It matches the Rfam family "Bacterial small subunit ribosomal RNA", at positions 9 to 514 of the family's 1533-position model. The record is from RNAcentral.